UACGGAGGGCGCAAGCGUUGUUCGGAAUCACUGGGCGUAAAGCGCGUGUAGGCGGUCUGGAAAGUCGGUUGUGAAAUCCCGGGGCUCAACCCCGGAACUGCAGUCGAAACUCCCAGGCUAGAGUCCCGGAGAGGAUGGCGGAAUUCCCGGUGUAGAGGUGAAAUUCGUAGAUAUCGGGAGGAACACCAGUGGCGAAGGCGGCCAUCUGGACGGUGACUGACGCUGAGACGCGAAAGCGUGGGGAGCAAACAGG
RNAcentral lists this ribosomal RNA (253 nucleotides) under uncultured bacterium. RNAcentral describes it as "partial 16S ribosomal RNA". It matches the Rfam family "Bacterial small subunit ribosomal RNA", at positions 524 to 776 of the family's 1533-position model. The record is from RNAcentral.